RNAcentral lists this ribosomal RNA (324 nucleotides) under uncultured eukaryote. Its description in RNAcentral is "partial 18S ribosomal RNA". It matches the Rfam family "Eukaryotic small subunit ribosomal RNA", at positions 1470 to 1796 of the family's 1831-position model. The record is from RNAcentral.
CCUUUAGAUGUUCUGGGCUGCACGCGCGCUACACUGAAGCUAUCAACACGUUUUCCCUCCCUGAGAAGGGCGGGUAACCUUUUGAAUCAGCUUCGUGGUAGGGAUCGGGGCUUGCAAUUGUUCCCCGUGAACCAGGAAUUCCUAGUAGACGCGAGUCAUAAGCUCGCAUCGAUUAAGUCCCUGCCCUUUGUACACACCGCCCGUCGCUACUACCGAUUGAACGUUUUAGUGAGGCAUUUGGACCGACGCAUCUCAGUUUAACCGCUGGUUUGUGUUGGAAAGACUUCCAAACUUGAGCGUUUAGAGGAAGUAAAAGUCGUAACA